CAAGAAUCACCUUAUGCUUGGUAGUCAUACCCUAAACUCUAAAUGUCUUUUCAGCUGCCUUUAAUCAUCUCUCAGCUUCAAUAAAAUUCUUUAUAUCAUAAAAAGUAGGAGGAUUAAGUCUCAUUAACCUCCUAUGACAAUCUAGAUCCAUAGCUAGUGGUUCUGGAUUAUGUGGAGCUGGUACUGAGGGAGGACUAGGUAAUUCUUCUCUACCUUCUCUAGGUU
RNAcentral lists this long non-coding RNA (225 nucleotides) under Carica papaya (papaya). RNAcentral's name for it is "long non-coding RNA (CPAP_LNC007904)". The record is from RNAcentral. Lineage: Eukaryota; Viridiplantae; Streptophyta; Magnoliopsida; Brassicales; Caricaceae.